AUGUUGGACUGUCUGAAUUUAUCAGUGACUCUAUCUUUUCUGCUUCUUUAUUGCAGGCUUCAAUCUGUGGGGGAAAAAAAAGUUGCUAUUUCUCUUCUUACCAUGUAAAAUGCCAGUGUGAAAAUGUUGCUAGAUAGCAAAGUUCAGGAAAGAAAAUCUGAGUCAUUCCCAUCAGCACAUAAGAUUUACAUUAUUUUGGGGAGUAUUUAUUAGAAAACAUAGUGGAGCUCUUAUCAUAGUCCUUGGUGUGAUGAAAACUUCUGUGGAAGCCCUGAGUAGCAGCAAAGGAAAGGAACGAAGCCAUAUACAAGUUAUCGUGGGUGAUGUGUUUUGAAUGUUGAUGGCAAAAAACUCACAGUAAAUUAUAACUAAGGUAAGUACCCUCUAAAACUGAGGACUUCCUUCCUGAGAGACCAAGAUACUGCCUUGAAGUCUGCAACAGUGGAAAAAUCUGGAUUUUCUCCUUAUUAGGCUUUUUCUUCCAAAUCAGGGAAAACUGAUUUCUUUUAUGGGAAGGGAAGUGAAGAAUGGAAGUAAUAUGAAAAACUGAGAAACCCCAGGUUUCCAUUCCCCCACUGACAUGAUGAUAAUGAAUUUUCUAACAUAAAUUCAUUUUUUUCCACUACUUUCUACUGCACCCCAGGAAUGAAUUUAGUACUAAGGCUCUUUAACAGCUUUGGAAGCCACCUCUGGUGAAGUUUAAACUUGACAAACUUAGUAUCUGGAAGUCCAAAGCUUUGAAAGUUGAGGAAUGUCUAGCUCAGCAAUGGGUACCACCACUGAAAUGAGCAGCUCCUCCCUGCUUUUGGAUGGCAUCUCUGAUUUCAGAGUCCUCACCCCAGGAAUCUGACAGCACUUGCUACAGUUGGAGUGAGAGCUGCCCAUGCUGCAACUUGUGUUCCCGUGCUGAGAAACAAGAGGCAGAGCAGCACUGCCAGCUGGCACUGCUUUACAGCCUCAGAACCUGUUCCAAGAGUCACCAGAGAUGGAGAGCUUUGUGAGGACAGAUAUAUGUCUGUACCUAUGGGAAUCUGUGACAUUUUAAGUUCAGUACUUAAAUACCAGCUUGGUAUCCCUCUGUGGUAUCUGCGCUGCCACUUCCGAAAAAUUGCUCAUCAGAUUCCUAGAGACAUCCUGCUUGAGAUACCACAGACCUCAUUCAUUUCUCCCAAACCCAUCUCCUGGGCAGAGCUGCAAGUUUCUCAAGACUGAAGGAGCUUGACUCCUAAAGCCAAAGCUUUCCACUCCAGGGUUACCAUCUGGGUCCUGAUACUGGCUUGUUCUAGCCUUAAGUAGAGAGAGAUCUCUACUUCAUCCUUUCUCCUCGAAGUCUCAAAGACAUUAUGGAAUAUAACAUUUCAAAGCAUAAGUUUUGUUCUAAAUAUCCCCCUAUUUAUACACAGAUUCUCUCCUCUCUGCAUUAAAC
Long non-coding RNA from Lepidothrix coronata (blue-crowned manakin), 1426 nucleotides. RefSeq lists it as uncharacterized. The transcript is spliced from 3 exons. Lineage: Eukaryota; Metazoa; Chordata; Aves; Passeriformes; Pipridae. The record is from RefSeq and is a predicted model, not a curated record.